GGGCAGGUAGCGCAGUGGACAGCGCGCUCCUGGGCGUUAUCAGUGUUAGUUUAAAGUGUGUAUACAGCGUUCAGCGAGAGGCCUGGGUUUGAAUCCCAGACCGCCCA
This is a non-coding RNA of Podospora aff. communis PSN243, 107 nucleotides long. The record is from the annotation of a GenBank genome assembly. NCBI's taxonomy places the organism in Eukaryota, Fungi, Ascomycota, Sordariomycetes, Sordariales, Podosporaceae.